GGACUUCACAUUGUCUACACCUGCUUCUCAUGCACCUCGUGCAUUUCUCUGCCUCCUUCAGUUCCAGACAGGGGUGAUCCUGAGCUCUCUUGGCAGGAUGAAGUUAAACACCUGACCUGAUCAUGCAGCAGCUGUAAUGUACGGCAGUGCUGGGCAGUGUUUGAAAUACAGUAUCUCCAGAGGGGUAAGAGCUGACCACAAUUUGAGAAUGGAAAAGGAGUGACUUUGGCUUUGCCUAUAUAAGUUGCAAGAUUUGGACAUCAGCAAAUGUCACAGUAAAUGACAGGAAUUAUGGUAGAAAAUCACAAGGAACUGGAUAGCAAGGCUCUAGAAAACAACAGGAGUAUUGAUUUGGAACAGCCUUUCCUGACUUUGCAUAAUUUCUACAUGAAACUCCAGAUUGGAGGGAUUCUAGUGACUAAAGUAGUGAAUGAAGCAAGAAGAGCUGAAGAACUGUGCUACUUUGUACUCAGCUGGAAUGAGAAGUCACUCUCUGGUCCUGGGCCAGCAAAGUAAUCAAUGCCGUUUAACUGCUUCUAAUUUCACAGGAUCAGUGCUUUAAAGUUUGAAAUAAAAUUGCCAUACUUCAAAGUUAAAGUUAAAUACAAGUAAGGGGCUGUGGGAGUUUGAGAGAGAGUGAUGGAGAGGAAAUGUUCACUGACUAGGACUGUGAUACCCCAUGUGUGUCUCUGAAUACAAAUCCAUUAAUAGGCAAAGUGCUUUUUAUUUAACUGCUUAUUUCUUCUGACUACAUAGUAAUUAAGAACUUUUCAGAGUUAACUCUUGGAAAAAGGAUACGUCUAAUAUGAGGUGCUAUGUAUUUAUCUCAGGUUGUAGAUUGUUGAAGUAGGUGCUAGGGAACUAUAGAAAGUACAUGCUACCUAGUUAAUCUGUGAUAUUCUGGUGUAAAAAUGAUUCUAUGUUUAAUAUCUUUUUGACAAGUUUGAGGGCUGAGGUAUUAUGUUCAUGAAUAAAUAGUAAAAUUUAGGAUUAGGGCUUUGUGCAGAAAUUGUUCUGUUCCAACACAGAAGGAAAAAUAUCUGACUGAUCCCCACGGGAAAUCUGACCUGUUCUCUAGAUGAGAUUUCAGCUGUGCCUUUGUAGCACUUUCUCUCAUGCCUCCACAUUCCUGUUACAGUGAGUAUAUCUGUCUACAGCAGCAGUGUAGUAUAUGAUCUUGCUAGUCUGGUUCUGAAACUCCCCUCUAAUUCUUCAUUACAUAACUCAGAUGUCUUUGCAUGUGUGUCCUGGGAAGAGGGGGCAGUCCUGUGAAGAAUUAUUCAGCCCUGAUUUUUUGCUUUAUCCAAGAUUUUGGUUCACAAAUGCAUUUUGGUUCAACUCUCAUCUGUCCCCUAGAGCUCAAUUUAAUUUUUACAGCAAAUACCACCUCUGCUGUGCCUCCUUGUCUGAGCUGUUUGCAGCUGUUCCUAUCUUUGUGAGUCUCAGUGAAGUGUUUGUUUCUUGUGUUACUGCCCAGUUUGAACUCUUAUUGGAACACUCUGGGCUCCACUGACAGAAGGUGCCCUCCUCCUGCCCCUGGCUUUAUCACGCACUGGGUGUAUUUAAUCUCCCCUGCUCUGAUGUGGUCUGAGGGCUUUAGCAAGCUGUUGCCAUCUUCCUGAGGGGACAGGACUCUAGGGACAGACAUGCUAGAGUGAUGGCGAGAGAGAGAGAGAGAGAGAGGAGGCUUUUAAACACUGUGUGCUACCUGUCAAAGAAGAAAAACACCAAGAAGUUAUAGUAAGCAGGAAGAGUCUCCACAGACUUGACAGCUGAACUUCUGAAUGAGCUGUAAAGUGCUUUUCAGCUCUUUUGUGUAUCCGAAUUUAAAGUGGCAACUGCUCAUGAAGAUGAG
Long non-coding RNA from Passer domesticus (house sparrow), 1855 nucleotides. RefSeq lists it as uncharacterized. The transcript is spliced from 4 exons. The record is from RefSeq and is a predicted model, not a curated record. NCBI's taxonomy places the organism in Eukaryota, Metazoa, Chordata, Aves, Passeriformes, Passeridae.